Molecule: ribosomal RNA, 454 nt
Filed under: uncultured organism
Description: partial 16S ribosomal RNA
Rfam family: Bacterial small subunit ribosomal RNA
Source: RNAcentral
CGUACACUCCUGCGGGAGGCAGCAGUGGGGAAUAUUGGACAAUGGGCGCAAGCCUGAUCCAGCCAUGCCGCGUGAGUGAUGAAGGCUCUAGGGUUGUAAAGCUCUUUCACCGGUGAAGAUAAUGACGGUAACCGGAGAAGAAGCCCCGGCUAACUUCGUGCCAGCAGCCGCGGUAAUACGAAGGGGGCUAGCGUUGUUCGGAUUUACUGGGCGUAAAGCGCACGUAGGCGGACUAUUAAGUCAGGGGUGAAAUCCCGGGGCUCAAUCCCGGAACUGCCUUUGAUACUGGUAGUCUUGAGUUCGAGAGAGGUGAGUGGAAUUCCGAGUGUAGAGGUGAAAUUCGUAGAUAUUCGGAGGAACACCAGUGGCGAAGGCGGCUCACUGGCUCGAUACUGACGCUGAGGUGCGAAAGCGUGGGGAGCAAACAGGAUUAGAUACCCUAGUAGUCCCAUGA